GCCAGGUGCAUGGGGGCGGGAGGGGCAGGCUCAAGCUUGCUUAUCCUUGGUGAUCCGCUUCUGGAGGGGCCCUGCAGCACUGAGAGGGAGUCAGACCCGCCGCCAGGCGGAGGGAUGGAUCUGCAGAAGCACAGCGUUGGGGGUUUGUGCCGAGUGAGCAAUGUGAGGAUGCCCCAAGUGAUCAAAAUCUUCCAUACUUUUCUCUUCUGCUCCCCUGAGUACAUCGAGGAAUGAAAACCAGUGAGGCCAUGAUGGGGGUUGGCUUGGACAUGGUAUAUAAUUUUUUAAAAUGUUUAAAAGU
Molecule: long non-coding RNA, 301 nt
Organism: Herpailurus yagouaroundi (jaguarundi)
Lineage: Eukaryota; Metazoa; Chordata; Mammalia; Carnivora; Felidae
Exons: 2
Source: RefSeq, a predicted model, not a curated record